UACGGAGGGUGCAAGCGUUAAUCGGAAUUACUGGGCGUAAAGCGCACGUAGGCGGUUCGUUAAGUCGGAUGUGAAAUCCCCGGGCUCAACCUGGGACCUGCAUUCGAUACUGGCGAACUUGAGUAUGAUAGAGGGGGGUGGAAUUCCAGGUGUAGCGGUGAAAUGCGUAGAUAUCUGGAGGAAGGCCGGUGGCGAAGGCGGCCCUCUGGCGCUGAACUGACACUGAGGCGCGAAAGCGUGGGGAUCAAACAGGAUUAGAUACCCCGGUAGU
This 271-nucleotide ribosomal RNA is filed under the name uncultured bacterium. RNAcentral's name for it is "partial 16S ribosomal RNA". It matches the Rfam family "Bacterial small subunit ribosomal RNA", at positions 524 to 794 of the family's 1533-position model. The record is from RNAcentral.